This 484-nucleotide ribosomal RNA is filed under the name uncultured bacterium. RNAcentral's name for it is "partial 16S ribosomal RNA". It matches the Rfam family "Bacterial small subunit ribosomal RNA", at positions 30 to 507 of the family's 1533-position model. The record is from RNAcentral.
AUUGAACGCUGGCGGCAGGCCUAACACAUGCAAGUCGAGCGGAUGAAGGGAGCUUGCUCCUCGAUUCAGCUGCGGACGGGUGAGUAAUGCAUAGGAAGCUGCCUGGUAGUUGGGGAUAACGUCCGGAAACGGGCGCUAAUACCACAUACGUCCAGAGGGUGAACGGGGGGGAUCUUCGGACAUCACGCUAUCAGAUGAGCCUAGGUCGGAUUAGCGAGUUGGUGGGGUAAGGGCCUACCAAGGCGACGAUCCGUAACCGGUCUGAGAGGGUGAUCAGUCACACUGGAACUGAGACACGGUCCAGACUCCUACGGGAGGCAGCAGUGGGGAAUAUUCGGCAAUGGGCGAAAGCCUGACGCAGCCACGCCGCGUGUGUGAAGAAGGUCUUCGGAUUGUAAAGCUCUUUUAUUUGGGAAGAACGGCUGUGAAUUUAACCCUUCCCGUUUUGACGUUACCUAAUGAAAAAGCCACGGCUAACUUCGUG